AGCAGGACAGCCAAGGAUUCUGGGGAGGUCACACUGAAAAGGUGACAUCUGAGCAGGCUUGAAGGUGACAAGGAGGUGGGCCAUGCUGCUCUCAAGGGAAAGGCAUUCCAGGAAUUUCACAUCAGGCUCACCAGGAUGUGGGUGUAGUCCAGAGGCCCUACCCUCUCCCACAACCCUCCCUUAAGGUAUGUGACACCCAGCAGGAGAGGCACCCUGCUCUCACCAAGACCACUCCCUCACCUGGGUCUGGAUGUCCAAUUGCCAGAAGCCACGGGGGCUUCCAGUCUGGGAGGGAGGCUCUUAAGACCCCUGCUUGAAUUUGCAAGGACAUCCACCUUGACUUCACCAGUAGAGUGAAGAGUCGCCACACCACGCCCACCACCAACAGAAGCCCCAAGGGCUCUGCAGCCCCCACAGGGCCCAAGGUCAGCCAGGCUUGAUCAGAGGACAAAGGACAAGGACAGAGAGAGCCUGCCUCUUCUUUUCUACCCGAAGACCAGGUGGUGGCUGCUCAUUGUUGGGCCUCCUCCCAUAGCUCUCCGACACCAUUCUGCUGCUCCAGAAUGAAGGCCUAUUCAUCACACUGCACCAAGCCUUCGGCAAUUUGGGCAAAUGAAGAAGAGACAGCCCUCCUUGGUGAUGUUGGCUGCUAAGGUCUCAAUGGCCUGCUGCCCCUGGCAAGCCUUCCCCUUUGGGCUCGGCUGAGUGUUUCCAUUACCAAUGAGAGGGAGCUCUUGAG
This is a long non-coding RNA of Marmota monax (woodchuck), 739 nucleotides long. RefSeq lists it as uncharacterized. The record is from RefSeq and is a predicted model, not a curated record. NCBI's taxonomy places the organism in Eukaryota, Metazoa, Chordata, Mammalia, Rodentia, Sciuridae. The transcript is spliced from 3 exons.